GGCGGCUCCGGCGGCACUCACCGUAGAUCAUGGCCAGGCCGGUCUCGUGGAGGAAGCGGACGCGCCGGUGCUUGAAGAGCCAGAUGCUGAACUCUGUUGUUUAUGGAGGAAAGCAUUCAUCCAUGGUUUGAAGUGUCAGUGCUACCGUCAGCUCAAGCCUUGAACUCCCACAUUUGCAUUUCCCAGGCCUUGUACAGGAAAACAAGUUUUCUUAGAAAUAUGAGAUCCUAAAACACCCAUGGAUAAAUGACUACCAUCAUGCUGGACAGCAACUGCUCUGGAGUUUUGAAAGAAGCCUAGAGAUUUGAGGUAUAACUAGAGAGAAAUCAGGAACAUGGAAACACCAGUGCAAGAAGGAAUGACAAUGAGAACCAGGAGGUAAAAUUGUCAGUGCUUUCUCUGCAGUGACUCAGGAAGUCAAAGAGGAGUAAGAAUUUCUGUUAACAUCAGCAGAAGAACAGUGUUCUGAUUCCCUGUCUUUGUGGGUUCUAUUUGGUUGAAGAGGUGCAGCUGUCAUUGCUGACAUCUCAGAGGGCUAGGAGUCCCCACAGCUUGAAAAAGAAGCUAGAAGUGAUCUGCUGCCUCGGGUAUCAACUUCAGCAGCAGGGAAAGGCAGGAUCAGGUCUGCCAGAAGGGAGCUACUGACAUGCAGAUGAGGAGGAACUGGCAACAAAUGUGGCAACAGAAGACACCGAACACUUCUUCUACAUUCAUGGCACCAGGAUAUUUUCUAAUUACAUUCCUGUUGCUUUCUACUAUUUACUCUUUAGUCCUCUGGUGUGUAAAUAGAGAGGGGGACUUCAAAGCAGAUUAUGUUUAGAAGAAAUAAUUUUAAACAGGCAAUGCAAAAAAUUGACCUCAAGCCAGUUUAAUCCAGAAAAUUGAUGUUGUGCUUACCAUAACUCAUUUAAAUUCUAACAUUUUUUGUAAGCCUGAAUAAGAUUAUAAAUGGAUAUUUUUUCAGAGUAUGAUCUAUGGUUAUUUACUCACUGUAUUUAUCUUAAUAGAUAUGUCACUUUCAUAAAUAACAAGAAAAUAUGAUUUAACCAGUUGUUUAAAGGAGAGUUGUUACAGCAGGCACCUCUUUAAUGUGUGUGUGAAUUGAUUUGACAUUUUAUUGUGGGUGUGAAUUUGAAUUAGCUGCUUUCCAGAUGUAAGCCAUUUCUGGCAUGGACUGUGGUUUCAUUUAUGUAUACCACCUAUAACUUAGAGAGAACUCCUGGAAAUUAUCAAUGACAAACAACUGAACAUAAAAGUUUAUUUAUCUAAAACAGCCUUGCCUUAAGUUUCGGUGUCUAUGUCUGUGUUCAACACUCUUUGUUUGCUUCACUAAGAAAAAUUGGAAAUUGAGAUAGGUCUGGUUAGCUGCCACCCAAAAAUGCUUAUCUGAGAUGAAUUGCCACCCCACAUUUUUUAACAUGGCCUCCAAAAAGAUUGCAAACUCAGAGCCCCAUAUAAUAGUAGAGCUAUCAUAUGGCUGAGGAAGUCUACCCAGGACUCUAGUUUGUUCAGCAACAAGGGAUUUCAGCAAGUACUGUGAACUGAAAAAUUUUUUUUAAAAGACACUUUUUGGUCACUUUCCUGUACUGAAGAUGUUCAGCCAUUAAAAGAAGUACAGUAGAGAAGUUUUUUCCUUAUAUUAUUAAAACCAGAGACA
Long non-coding RNA from Oenanthe melanoleuca, 1657 nucleotides. RefSeq lists it as uncharacterized. The transcript has 4 exons. The record is from RefSeq and is a predicted model, not a curated record. NCBI's taxonomy places the organism in Eukaryota, Metazoa, Chordata, Aves, Passeriformes, Muscicapidae.